UGGGGAAUUUUGGACAAUGGGCGCAAGCCUGAUCCAGCCAUGCCGCGUGUCUGAAGAAGGCCUUCGGGUUGUAAAGGACUUUUGUCAGGGAAGAAAAGGGCGGGGUUAAUACCCCUGUCUGAUGACGGUACCUGAAGAAUAAGCACCGGCUAACUACGUGCCAGCAGCCGCGGUAAUACGUAGGGUGCGAGCGUAAAUCGGAAUUACUGGGCGUAAAGCGGGCGCAGACGGUUACUUAAGCAGGAUGUGAAAUCCCCGGGCUCAACCUGGGAACUGCGUUCUGAACUGGGUGACUAGAGUGUGUCAGAGGGAGGUAGAAUUCCACGUGUAGCAGUGAAAUGCGUAGAGAUGUGGAGGAAUACCGAUGGCGAAGGCAGCCUCCUGGGAUAACACUGACGUUCAUGCCCGAAAGCGUGGGUAGCAAACA
This 427-nucleotide ribosomal RNA is filed under the name uncultured bacterium. RNAcentral's name for it is "partial 16S ribosomal RNA". It matches the Rfam family "Bacterial small subunit ribosomal RNA", at positions 355 to 774 of the family's 1533-position model. The record is from RNAcentral.